UGGCUCAGGACGAUCGCUGGCGGCGCGCCUAACACAUGCAAGUCGAACGAGAGAGAGGGAGCUUGCUUCCUUGAUCGAGAGGCGAACGGGUGAGUAACGCGUGAGGAACCUGCCUCAAAGAGGGGGACAACAGUUGGAAACGACUGCUAAUACCGCAUAAGCCCACGACCCGGCAUCGGGAAGAGGGAAAAGGAGCAAUCCGCUUUGAGAUGGCCUCGCGUCCGAUUAGCUAGUUGGUGAGGUAACGGCCCACCAAGGCGACGAUCGGUAGCCGGACUGAGAGGUUGAACGGCCACAUUGGGACUGAGACACGGCCCAGACUCCUACGGGAGGCAGCAGUGGGGAAUAUUGCACAAUGGGGGAAACCCUGAUGCAGCGACGCCGCGUGGAGGAAGAAGGUCUUCGGAUUGUAAACUCCUGCUGUUGAGGAAGAUAAUGACGGUACUCAACAAGGAAGUGACGGCUAACUACGUGCCAGCAGCCGCGGUAAUACGUAGGUCACAAGCGUUGUCCGGAAUUACUGGGUGUAAAGGGAGCGCAGGCGGGCGAUCAAGUUGGAAGUGAAAUCCAUGGGCUCAACCCAUGAACUGCUUUCAAAACUGGUCGUCUUGAGUAGUGCAG
RNAcentral lists this ribosomal RNA (621 nucleotides) under uncultured bacterium. Its description in RNAcentral is "bacterial SSU rRNA". It matches the Rfam family "Bacterial small subunit ribosomal RNA", at positions 20 to 654 of the family's 1533-position model. The record is from RNAcentral.